GGAUCACGGCCUCUCUGCUGGGCCCAGGUUAGGUUCGCUCUCUUUGAAAUGUGCCUGUUGCUCAGCUGUGCCCUCAAGCCGGGGUCCACCUGUGUUUCUAACAGAAUCAUCUACAGCGUCUUUUCUGCUCACCGUACUCCAUGGGGCUGCUCUCUCCAAGCGCAUGCGGCAAUUCCCAUCUCUGCUACCUGUUUUGCACUGAUAUUUACUAGGGUGAAAUAAAGGUUAAGACACGUGGGUAUUGUCCUGACAUCUGCCCUUUCUCUAUGGAAAAUCAUAGAUCCUCUAAAUACACUCGCCCCCUGACCUAUGCUGGAGGGACAUCCUGGUAAGCCCUUUGUAAAUCGAGAACACUGCAAACCAGAAGUGCGUUGAUUCACUUAACCUACUGAACGUCCUAGCUUAGCAACAGCCCACUGUGGAGUGUUGGCUUUUGUUUUUGUGAACACGUGACCAGCCGGGGAGCUGGGAGUCCCUGCUGCACCCCAGAGAGGAUCCCAGUGUGUACUCCUGUCCAGGGGAAAGAUCAAAUUCAUAGUAUCGUUUCUACUGAGUGCAUAUCAUUUUCCCACCUUUGUGAAACGGAAUUUUAAGCUAGGGACUGUUUGUCCCCAUCUUCCUAAGUUUCUGGACACUGUAUUGCAGUGGGGACAAAUCUCCAUUCUCUCUCCACUGGGAACCACAGAGAAGUCUGCAUAACCUAACCCCAACUCAGUAACAGGCAAACUUCCCAUUCUCUUUCUAAAAAUAAGCUCCCUGGCUUCAUCCUUCCUGACAUAGAAAGGAAGGGACCAUCAUGCACACCUCAGCAGACCCCCGGAGAGGUGUGGCUGGUUCCUCUCCUUGGCUGCAAUGUCAUGGUCCCUCAGCUCGUGUCCCGUCAGCAGCAGAGGUGAGCCCUCAGGAGUCAGGCUGGGAGGAGAAGCUGUCCUGAGGGUUCCCAACAGCAGGGCUGGGCUGGGGGUUGGCGGGGCAGGCUCUAUUUCCACAGUGGGACCUUUUCCCACCAGUUUUCUGACAGUCCCCUCUCUUCCUCUAGGUUGGCUUUUUCUUCCUCUGGUGAAGAAAGGAAUUGGUCAAGUGUCAGAGGCAGAUAAAGUGAAGGGUGACGUUUCCUGACAUUGGCUGCUGGGGUCAGCACAGGAGUGACUUGGUC
RNAcentral lists this long non-coding RNA (1156 nucleotides) under Marmota monax (woodchuck). The record is from RNAcentral. Lineage: Eukaryota; Metazoa; Chordata; Mammalia; Rodentia; Sciuridae.